CAAAGAAAGAAAGAGGGGAAAAGAAAAGAGAAAAAGGGAGAAAAAAAAUUAUUAUUAAUCAAACCCUAGCCGCCGCACGCCGCCGCCGCCGCGAACCCGAGCCGCCAAGCCUUCCCCUCUCUGUUCAGCAGCGCAGCCGAGUCUGCAGUCAAAACCGAGCCGUCGCCGAGCUUCCAGCCGCGUCGGAAGAAUCGUCCAAGCCGAUCCGCGCACACCGAGCGUCCGUCGGAGCAGCCGUCUCUCGCAGCCGUCGCCCGAAGCCGAGCCGCGUCACCCUUUGCGAUCCGCAGCCGAUCCGUCAGCCAGCCGCGUCGCGCUGCUUCGAUCCGACGCAGCGCAGCCGAGCGUCCGUCUGCAGCCGUCGCCGAGCGAAGCCGUGGUGUAGCCGGACCACCCGCAGCCGUCGCGCCACCCGGAUCUGAAAACCAGCGCCUCGUCGCGUGAGGACCCGACCCGGCCGAAGCCCGCUCCGUAACCCGAGGCCCUGCCCGCGCUGCGUGCGUCCGACCCGGAACCCGAGCCGCGUGCACCCGCGAGCCGAGCAGCGCCCGCGUGCGAGCCGCACGUGCGUAGCCGCUGUACCAAGCCGAGCCGCGCCUGUCUGCGCCGCGAGCCGAGCCGAUCUUCAACCUCCAAGCCGAGCCGGUCCCUGCCCUUUUUCCAGCCGAGCCGCCAAGCCUAAUUUGGCUCCUCCCAUCCAAUUUUGGGACGUCUUGGACCAAGUAACUGCUGCAGCGUAGGAUUUCUUCAGUAGGGGCUCGAGCACUGCAACCUCUUUCUAGGUUAGGACCUCGUCGCUUGGAAAGCAUACUGCCUCGCGGUUAGGACUCGUCAAGUAAAUCUCCAGGUAGAGGACGAGGCAAGGGCAAAGGCAAGCUGGCGAGCGACCCGAAGUGACCGUGGCGAGCCAUAGGGACUUCUGCUUCCGCUUAUUCUUGUUUUUUUUUUUUUUUACUUUAGUACCUGAGUUUGAGUAUUCUUCAUUAUUUACCAUCUUUUAUGUAGAUAGGGCCCGAGUAGGACUUUAGAACGCAUUUCAUUUUUGCAUAACUACCUUGUUUGGAUUUUCAUAAAUAAAAUUUCUCAAACCUUAGGCGUUUUACUAAAUUUUAUGACUUAAA
Cucumis melo (muskmelon) is the source of this 1121-nucleotide long non-coding RNA. RefSeq lists it as uncharacterized. Lineage: Eukaryota; Viridiplantae; Streptophyta; Magnoliopsida; Cucurbitales; Cucurbitaceae. The transcript is spliced from 4 exons. The record is from RefSeq and is a predicted model, not a curated record.